AAAUGAUUCACUUGGGGAUUUUGUUAAAAAUUCAGAUUAUGAUGCAGGUAGAGAUCAAGAUUCUGAAAUUCUAGCACACCUCCAGGUGAUGUUGUU
RNAcentral lists this microRNA precursor (96 nucleotides) under Marmota monax (woodchuck). Lineage: Eukaryota; Metazoa; Chordata; Mammalia; Rodentia; Sciuridae. The record is from RNAcentral.